This 492-nucleotide long non-coding RNA is filed under the name Oryza brachyantha (malo sina). RNAcentral describes it as "long non-coding RNA (OBRA_LNC000115)". Lineage: Eukaryota; Viridiplantae; Streptophyta; Magnoliopsida; Poales; Poaceae. The record is from RNAcentral.
AACUCAACAACCGAGUUUUUUAGACUCACCUAAACAUACAUGACUCAUAAAAGCUGCCAAAAUUUUGGCAAUGCGAAUUUGGUGUCUCUGAAUCGCUUUGGCAGUCAGUGUCCCACAGACAAUUACCCCUGUUUCUCAAGAUUGUUCGCCGUUAGGACCUUUCUGAAAAUCUUUUGCCUUCCAGAGAUGUGCAGGCUGGCCCAAGUAGAAACCAUAUUUUUCACAUCUCCACUCUGUUUGAUCAGACCAUAAUACAUCUGAUUCAAAUAUUUUUCUAAGUCAUCUGAUUCAUCUUUGUCUGAUGCACCUGAUCGAGAAUUUAGUUUGUAAUCUGUCUAUUGUCGUCAACGGCUAAGCCUUCACUUUGCAUAGAUGAAAUAACUUACACAGUCAGCAUACCAGCAUAAGCAUGUAGCUUACUAAUUGUCUAUCUCAAAGAUGUGGACAUGGUCCAUCAGCCGUUGGAAGAGUCUCGGUCUACAUUUUCCAACU